AUACUUACCUGGCAGGGGAGAUAGCAUGGUCACGGAGGUGGUUUUCCCAGGGUGAGGCUCAUCCAUUGCACUGCGGGUGUGUUGAUCCCUGCGAUUUCCCCAAAUGGGGGAAACUCGACUGCAUAAUUUGUGGUAGUGGGGGACUGUGUUCGCGCUCUCCCCUG
Molecule: small nuclear RNA, 164 nt
Filed under: Gopherus agassizii (Agassiz's desert tortoise)
Lineage: Eukaryota; Metazoa; Chordata; Testudines; Testudinidae
Description: U1 spliceosomal RNA (ENSGAGG00000004655.1)
Rfam family: U1 spliceosomal RNA
About the family: U1 is a small nuclear RNA (snRNA) component of the spliceosome (involved in pre-mRNA splicing). Its 5' end forms complementary base pairs with the 5' splice junction, thus defining the 5' donor site of an intron.
Source: Rfam by way of RNAcentral